GUGGGUAUGGCUCAGUGGUAGAGGGUGCACUUAGCUUGCAGGAGGUCCUGGGUUCAAUCCCCAGUGCCUCCA
Molecule: transfer RNA, 72 nt
Filed under: Camelus bactrianus (Bactrian camel)
Lineage: Eukaryota; Metazoa; Chordata; Mammalia; Artiodactyla; Camelidae
Also listed under: 1 other name
Rfam family: tRNA
About the family: Transfer RNA (tRNA) molecules are approximately 80 nucleotides in length.
Source: Rfam by way of RNAcentral